Molecule: microRNA precursor, 104 nt
Filed under: Marmota monax (woodchuck)
Lineage: Eukaryota; Metazoa; Chordata; Mammalia; Rodentia; Sciuridae
Source: RNAcentral
AUCCACACCACCUGAGGAUCUUGUUACAGUUCAGAUUUUAAUUCAGAAAGUUGGGGUGGGGGCUAAAAUUCUGCAUUUGUAAUAAACUUUCAGGUGAUACUGGU